CAGUCGCCGCGGUAAUACGUAGGUGGCAAGCGUUGUCCGGAAUUAUUGGGCGUAAAGGGCUCGCAGGCGGUUUCUUAAGUCUGAUGUGAAAGCCCCCGGCUCAACCGGGGAGGGUCAUUGGAAACCGGGAAACUUGAGUGCAGAAGAGGAGAGUGGAAUUCCACGUGUAGUGGUGAAAUGCGUAGAGAUGUGGAGGAACACCAGUGGCGAAGGCGACUCUCUGGUCUGUAACUGACGCUGAGGAGCGAAAGCGUGGGGAGCAAACAGGAUUAGAUACCCCCGUAGUCCCUGUCUCUUAUAC
Molecule: ribosomal RNA, 301 nt
Filed under: uncultured bacterium
Lineage: Bacteria
Description: partial 16S ribosomal RNA
Rfam family: Bacterial small subunit ribosomal RNA
Source: RNAcentral